GAUGAACGCUGGCGGCGUACCUAAUACAUGCAAGUCGAGCGAACAGACGAGGAGCUUGCUCCUCUGACGUUAGCGGCGGACGGGUGAGUAAAACGUGGAUAACCUACCUAUAAGACUAGGAUAACUUCGGGAAACCGGAGCUAAUACCGGAUAAUAUAUUGAACCGCAUGGUUCAAUAGUGAAAGACGGUUUUGCUGUCACUUAUAGAAGGAUCCGCGCCGCAUUAGCUAGUUGGUAAGGUAACGGCUUACCAGGGCAACGAUGCGUAGCCGACCUGAGAGGGUGAUCGGCCACACUGAAACUGAGACCCGGUCCAGACUCCUACGGGAGGCAGCAGUAGGGAAUCUUCCGCAAUGGGCGAAAGCUUGACGGAGCAACGCCGCGUGAGUGAUGAAGGUCUUCGGAUCGUAAAACUCUGUUAUUAGGGAAGAACAAAUGUGUAAGUAACUAUGCACGUCUUGACUGUACCUAAUCAGAAAGCCACGGCUAACUACGU
Molecule: ribosomal RNA, 496 nt
Filed under: uncultured bacterium
Lineage: Bacteria
Description: partial 16S ribosomal RNA
Rfam family: Bacterial small subunit ribosomal RNA
Source: RNAcentral